CUAAAACAGAAGACCAUAGAACUAACACGAGCAUGUCAGAAGCAAUAUGAGCUGGAACAGGAAUUGGCCUUUUAUAAAAUUGAUGCUAAAUUUGAGCCACUAAAUUAUUAUCCAUCAGAGUAUGCUGAAAUUGAUAAAGCCCCAGAUGAAAGCCCUUACAUUGGCAAAUCCAGAUACAAGAGAAAUAUGUUUGCCACAGAGAGUUAUAUUAUUGACAGUGCUCAGGCAGUACAGAUCAAGAAGGUGGAGCCAGAUGAACAACUUAGAAAUGAUCACAUGAACUUGAGAGGCCACACACCACUGGACACGCAACUGGAAGACAAAGAAAAAAAAAUAAGUGCAGCACAAACUCGACUAUCAGAACUGCAUGAUGAAAUAGAAAAGGCAGAACAACAAAUUUUGAGAGCUACUGAAGAAUUUAAACAACUGGAAGAAGCUAUACAACUAAAAAAGAUUUCAGAAGCAGGGAAAGACCUUCUUUACAAGCAGUUGAGUGGUAGACUACAACUUGUAAAUAAAUUACGCCAGGAAGCUCUGGAUCUAGAACUGCAGAUGGAAAAGCAAAAGCAGGAAAUUGCCGGAAAGCAGAAGGAGAUUAAGGACCUGCAAAUAGCCAUAGAUAGCCUGGAUUCCAAAGACCCAAAACAUUCCCAUAUGAAGGCUCAAAAGAGGGGUAAAGAACAACAGCUUGACAUUAUGAACAAGCAGUACCAACAACUUGAAAGUCGUUUGGAUGAGAUACUUUCUAGAAUUGCUAAGGAAACGGAAGAGAUUAAGGACCUUGAAGAACAGCUUACUGAAGGCCAGAUAGCAGCAAAUGAAGCCCUGAAGAAGGAUUUAGAAGGUGUCAUCAGUGGGUUGCAAGAAUACCUGGGGACCAUUAAAGGCCAGGCAACUCAGGCCCAGAAUGAGUGCAGGAAGCUGCGGGAUGAGAAAGAGACAUUGUUGCAGAGAUUGACAGAAGUCGAGCAGGAGAGAGACCAACUGGAAAUAGUUGCCAUGGAUGCAGAAAAUAUGAGGAAGGAGCUUGCAGAGCUAGAAAGUGCCCUCCAGGAGCAGCAUGAGGUGAAUGCGUCUUUGCAGCAGACCCAGGGAGAUCUCAGUGCCUAUGAAGCUGAGCUAGAGGCUCGGCUAAACCUAAGGGAUGCUGAAGCCAACCAGCUCAAGGAAGAGUUGGAAAAAGUAACAAGACUUACCCAGUUAGAACAAUCAGCCCUUCAAGCAGAACUUGAGAAGGAAAGGCAAGCCCUCAAGAAUGCCCUUGGAAAAGCCCAGUUCUCAGAAGAAAAGGAGCAAGAGAACAGUGAGCUCCAUGCAAAACUUAAACACUUGCAGGAUGACAAUAAUCUGUUAAAACAGCAACUUAAAGAUUUCCAGAAUCACCUUAACCAUGUGGUUGAUGGUUUGGUUCGUCCAGAAGAAGUGGCAGCUCGUGUGGAUGAGCUAAGAAGAAAACUGAAAUUAGGAACUGGGGAAAUGAACAUCCAUAGUCCUUCAGAUGUCUUAGGGAAAAGUCUUGCUGAUUUACAGAAACAAUUCAGUGAAAUUCUUGCACGCUCCAAGUGGGAAAGAGAUGAAGCACAAGUUAGAGAGAGAAAACUCCAAGAAGAAAUGGCUCUGCAGCGAGAGAAACUGGCAACUGGACAAGAAGAGUUCAGGCAGGCCUGUGAGAGAGCCCUGGAAGCAAGAAUGAAUUUUGAUAAGAGGCAACAUGAAGCAAGAAUCCAGCAAAUGGAGAAUGAAAUUCACUAUUUGCAAGAAAAUCUAAAAAGUAUGGAGGAAAUCCAAGGCCUUACAGAUCUCCAACUUCAGGAAGCUGAUGAAGAGAAGGAGAGAAUUCUGGCCCAACUCCGAGAGUUAGAGAAAAAGAAGAAACUUGAAGAUGCCAAAUCUCAGGAGCAAGUUUUUGGUUUAGAUAAAGAACUGAAGAAACUAAAGAAAGCCGUGGCCACCUCUGAUAAGCUAGCCACAGCUGAGCUCACCAUUGCCAAAGACCAGCUGAAGUCCCUUCAUGGAACUGUUAUGAAAAUUAACCAGGAGCGAGCAGAGGAGUUGCAGGAAGCAGAGAGGUUCAGCAGAAAGGCAGCACAAGCAGCCAGAGAUUUGACCCGAGCAGAAGCUGAGAUUGAACUCCUGCAGAAUCUCCUCAGGCAGAAGGGGGAGCAGUUUCGACUUGAGAUGGAGAAAACAGGUGUAGGUACUGAAGCAAACUCACAGGUCCUAGAAAUUGAGAAACUGAAUGAGACAAUGGAACGACAAAGGACAGAGAUUGCAAGGCUGCAGAAUGUACUAGACCUCACUGGAAGUGACAACAAAGGAGGCUUUGAAAAUGUUUUAGAAGAAAUUGCUGAACUUCGACGUGAAGUUUCUUAUCAGAAUGAUUACAUAAGCAGCAUGGCAGAUCCUUUCAAAAGACGAGGCUAUUGGUACUUUAUGCCACCACCACCAUCAUCAAAAGUUUCCAGCCAUAGUUCCCAGGCCACCAAGGACUCUGGUGUUGGCCUUAAGUACACAGCCUCAACUCCUGUUAGAAAACCACGCCCUGGGCAGCAGGAUGGGAAGGAAGGCAGUCAACCUCCCCCUGCCUCAGGAUACUGGGUUUAUUCUCCCAUCAGGAGUGGGUUACAUAAACUGUUUCCAAAUAGAGAUGCAGACAGUGGAGGAGAUAGUCAGGAAGAGAGUGAGCUGGAUGACCAAGAAGAACCCCCAUUUGUGCCUCCUCCUGGAUACAUGAUGUAUACUGUGCUUCCUGAUGGUUCUCCUGUACCCCAGGGCAUGGCCCUGUAUGCACCACCUCCUCCCUUGCCAAACAAUAGCCGACCUCUCACCCCUGGCACUGUUGUUUAUGGCCCACCUCCUGCUGGGGCCCCCAUGGUGUAUGGGCCUCCACCCCCCAACUUCUCCAUCCCCUUCAUCCCUAUGGGUGUGCUGCAUUGCAACGUCCCUGAACACCAUAACUUAGUAAGUGGAAAGACAUACAACUCUGUUUCCACACUGCUUCCAUGGGUGACUGAUAAGGUUAUAUACUUAAUGAGUUGACCUAUUUAUGACUGGAUUAUAUGGCAAAGUGUGUUUGUAAGGCUGAUGUUUAGAACUGUGCAAGCAUUCUCUUAUUAAAAUUCUCUUAUAAAA
Molecule: small RNA, 3132 nt
Filed under: Pan troglodytes (chimpanzee)
Lineage: Eukaryota; Metazoa; Chordata; Mammalia; Primates; Hominidae
Description: retained intron
Source: RNAcentral